RNAcentral lists this ribosomal RNA (463 nucleotides) under uncultured bacterium. Its description in RNAcentral is "partial 16S ribosomal RNA". It matches the Rfam family "Bacterial small subunit ribosomal RNA", at positions 339 to 795 of the family's 1533-position model. The record is from RNAcentral.
CUACGGGUUGCUGCAGUGGGGAAUAUUGCACAAUGGGCGCAAGCCUGAUGCAGCCAUGCCGCGUGUAUGAAGAAGGCCUUCGGGUUGUAAAGUACUUUCAGCGGGGAGGAAGGGAGUAAAGUUAAUACCUUUGCUCACUGACGUUACCCGCAGAAGAAGCACCGGCUAACUCCGUGCCAGCAGCCGCGGUAAUACGGAGGGUGCAAGCGUUAAUCGGAAUUACUGGGCGUAAAGCGCACGCAGGCGGUUUGUUAAGUCAGAUGUGAAAUCCCCGGGCUCAACCUGGGAACUGCAUCUGAUACUGGCAAGCUUGAGUCUCGUAGAGGGGGGUAGAAUUCCAGGUGUAGCGGUGAAAUGCGUAGAGAUCUGGAGGAAUACCGGUGGCGAAGGCGGCCCCCUGGACGAAGACUGACGCUCAGGUGCGAAAGCGUGGGGAGCAAACAGGAUAGAUACCCUAGUAGUC